AUUGAACGCUGGCGGCAGGCCUAACACAUGCAAGUCGAACGGUAACAGGAAGCAGCUUGCUGCUUCGCUGACGAGUGGCGGACGGGUGAGUAAUGUCUGGGAAACUGCCUGAUGGAGGGGGAUAACUACUGGAAACGGUAGCUAAUACCGCAUAACGUCGCAAGACCAAAGAGGGGGACCUUCGGGCCUCUUGCCAUCGGAUGUGCCCAGAUGGGAUUAGCUAGUAGGUGGGGUAACGGCUCACCUAGGCGACGAUCCCUAGCUGGUCUGAGAGGAUGACCAGCCACACUGGAACUGAGACACGGUCCAGACUCCUACGGGAGGCAGCAGUGGGGAAUAUUGCGCAAUGGGCGCAAGCCUGAUGCAGCCAUGCCGCGUGUAUGAAGAAGGCCUUCGGGUUGUAAAGUACUUUCAGCGGGGAGGAAGGCGAUAAGGUUAAUAACCUUGUCGAUUGACGUUACCCGCAGAAGAAGCACCGGCUAACUCCGUGCCAGCAGCCGCCGCCG
This 506-nucleotide ribosomal RNA is filed under the name uncultured bacterium. RNAcentral's name for it is "partial 16S ribosomal RNA". It matches the Rfam family "Bacterial small subunit ribosomal RNA", at positions 30 to 523 of the family's 1533-position model. The record is from RNAcentral.